CGGCCUCGGGACGGGCCCGGAGGUGCCACCCCGCGGGUGGGGGCCCGGCACUCCGGCCGGCCCGCGGGGGGGUAGGGGGGUCUAGGGCACCGCCAGCUUGUGCCAUCGCUCUCCCGCGAUGGUGGUGUGGGCGCUCCGAGACACCAACCUACCCAAGCAGGGCUGGUGAGAGAAGCUGGAAUUAAAGAAACCGGCCUCAGACACCCCGAGAGAAGCCACCAGGUUCCAGAUGAUACCAUGAUGCCAACCUGACUUCCCUGGACAGACAACCUCACCAGUGUGUCCUGGAGCCCUCCCUGCCUCCCCAGAUCCCUGCCUCACUAAGGAAAGAGAAAGACAGGCUGGGAGUAUGGAUCGACCUGCCAGCGCCCAUGUUCAGCGGAGAAGCAGUUACAAAAGCCAGACCUUCCACCUUCUGCACCCUGUAAUGAUCCUGGGUCCAUACUCCCAGAGGGAUAAAGAAUAAGGAAGCUA
Erinaceus europaeus (western European hedgehog) is the source of this 474-nucleotide long non-coding RNA. RefSeq lists it as uncharacterized. The transcript is spliced from 2 exons. The record is from RefSeq and is a predicted model, not a curated record. NCBI's taxonomy places the organism in Eukaryota, Metazoa, Chordata, Mammalia, Eulipotyphla, Erinaceidae.